AAAACAGCCCUUUUAAGGGCUAACAUACUAAAUAAUAUUUUGU
Non-coding RNA from Zootermopsis nevadensis, 43 nucleotides. NCBI's taxonomy places the organism in Eukaryota, Metazoa, Arthropoda, Insecta, Blattodea, Termopsidae. The record is from Rfam.